This 1101-nucleotide long non-coding RNA is filed under the name Anser brachyrhynchus (Pink-footed goose). Its description in RNAcentral is "lncRNA (ENSABRG00000012014.1)". The record is from RNAcentral. Lineage: Eukaryota; Metazoa; Chordata; Aves; Anseriformes; Anatidae.
GCUGUCUAGGGAUGGGAGCUGAGUUUGUAAUGCUCCUGAUUUACUAGAAACAAGGGCUAUAUGGAGAAGCUGGAAGGAUCAUGUACUCAUGAUACAGCUUGGAAAACAGUGGACACUCAGAAGUGUAAGAAUUAAAGGUUAGUUCUCAGGUUGCUUAUAGCCUGGGAGGAGCUUCUGCUGAGUGCGGGGAGAGGCAAAAAGGUAGGAUGGCAGAAACUGCUUCCAGCUGGUGUUUGUUUAACAAAGCUUUAGAGGUGAAGGCAGAAGGAAGCCUGGGAGAUGUUUGGGUUUUGUUCAUGCUGGAGAACUGAAGAUUACCGUGUUUAUAUCAUUUGACUAAAAUUAACAUUGACGUUACCAUACGGGCUGGCCCCUUUCCUGCCCCAUCUGUUCUCUCUGGAAGUGUGCCCUUGGCAGUUGGACCUGCUGCAUUAAGUGGGCCUGAGGAGGCAGCCCUGCCCAGGUCGUGCUGGGAUAGCUUCUCCCCCACCAGUCUCUCUUGCUUGCAUGAAGAGGAAGCCUGUAUUGCCUGUAAAGACCAGCUUCAACCACAUACCAAAGGAGAAGUGGAGUUUAUGCUGAGGCCAGCUGCUGGCCGGGAUACCCGUGCUUGAGAGAGGAAUCAAGAAGCUAAAGGUCACUGCACAGAAUCUGUCCAUCACACAGACCUUGCCUCAGGAAUGCAGCCACUGGAUCCAUCCUUUGGUGAGCAAUGUAAGCUUGGUCAUUCUGAAUGUCUGUUCUCUCAUCUUGAUGUUUUCCUUUGACAUUAAAGAGCCAAUUGCUGGUAUUUUGCUGGAUUUAGUUUGGAUAGAAUGGAAGCAGUCAGAUUUCAUCCUUUUAUAUAAUUCUAGCCUAGCCCUGGAGACAGCUGUGAAUCCACAGAGGUCUGACUUCUAUUCAUAACUGGUUUCAGUCCUGUGUUGCUUAUUGUGUGUGUCUGAGAUCAGUAAAAAUUAAACAUCGAUUAAAAGUUUUCUGAUGGCAGUAACUGAAAAGGCAAUGGGAUACUCAGAAAUUAUUUUCUACUCCACAGUUUUUUUCAUAAGCUUUUUUCUUAGUAUCUGUUUGCCAUGGGAUCUAUAGCUGCCUGUCUUAUAA